CACGUAGUUAGCCGGUGCUUCUUAUCUAGGUACCGUCACAAAAAAGCUUCGUCCCUAGCGAAAGGAGUUUACAACCCGAAGGCCUUCAUCCCCCACGCGGCGUCGCUGCAUCAGGCUUGCGCCCAUUGUGCAAUAUUCCCCACUGCUGCCUCCCGUAGGAGUCUGGGCCGUAUCUCAGUCCCAAUGUGGCCGUACACCCCCUCAGGCCGGCUACCCGUCGCCGCCUUGGUAGGCCAUUACCCCACCAACAAGCUGAUAGGCCGCGAGCUCAUCCUACACCGAAAAAACUUUCCAACCACCACACUAAAGAUGGCUCCUAUCCGGUAUUAGACCCAGUUUCCCAAGCUUAUCCCGAAGUGCAGGGCAGAUCACCCACGUGUUACUCACCCGUUCGCCACUCGAGUACCCUGCAAGCAGGGCCUUUCCGUCGACUUGCAUGUGUUAAGCACGCCGCCAGCGUUCGUCCUGAGCCAGGAUCAAACUCU
This 485-nucleotide ribosomal RNA is filed under the name uncultured Corynebacterium sp. RNAcentral describes it as "partial 16S ribosomal RNA". The record is from RNAcentral. Lineage: Bacteria; Bacillati; Actinomycetota; Actinomycetes; Mycobacteriales; Corynebacteriaceae.